UUAUUUGUGGGAUAAAUUUAUCUGGAAUGCAUCAUUCCAUUGAAUUCCAUGAAAUAUUUACCAGUUAGCAUAAAAACCUUUUUAAACCAAUUCCAUACAUUCCAAUUUUGGAAUGGAACAAAAGAACAAAUCCUUUGUAAAAUCUAUUCCUUUUAUUCCCUGCAAAAAAUGUUCAUGAAUGAAUGGGAUGAGUGGAAUU
This 199-nucleotide long non-coding RNA is filed under the name Brassica napus (rape). RNAcentral's name for it is "long non-coding RNA (BNAP_LNC013850)". The record is from RNAcentral. Lineage: Eukaryota; Viridiplantae; Streptophyta; Magnoliopsida; Brassicales; Brassicaceae.